Molecule: RNA transcript, 1994 nt
Organism: Triticum aestivum (bread wheat)
Lineage: Eukaryota; Viridiplantae; Streptophyta; Magnoliopsida; Poales; Poaceae
Exons: 2
Source: RefSeq, a predicted model, not a curated record
CACUAGACCAACCCAUUGGCACGUUGCCGAACGACCUAAUAACCCGGCCACGACCUUCUCUAACCUCCCACGAUUCCACCGUCCUCGUCCUGCAGCGCCGCCGCCGUCCACCGGCCUCCUCCCGCGAAACCGCCGCCGCCUGCCUUCCACGGAACCGCCGCCGGCCUGAUCCCGUGGCCCUGCAUCCGCCCUUUUGCUGCGGCCACGCGCCUUCCUCCUCCCGUGGCCCUACCCCCGGUCUUCUCCAGCGGCCGCACGCCGUCCUCCUAUCAUUGCCCCACUGGCGAUCUCCUCCCGCGGAUGCGCCGCCGCCGACCCCCAAUAGGAUCCAUGCCUCCACCACCCCCAAGAUCCUACGCCGCUGGGUGGGAUCCGGCAUCCCGCAUCCACGUCCCGGCGAGCCCAAGCACGCUGUCGGCCGCGUGUACUCGACGCAACACCUCCCGCCUCCCAACAUCGCUGCCUACCCUGCCAUCACCGCAACCACGCAUCACUCCAGCUGGGAUCCAUCGCGCAGUCCACCUCGUCCAUGCGUGCAGUCCCUCCUUGUCCGCUCGCUUGACAGCAGAGGUGAGACCUACCUCUGUGCCUCCUCCUCCACCUUACGGCCAGUUCAAUUUGCUCUAGCAAUUCAAUUUUGUCAUGUGCAUCACCCAGAUGAAUAUGUAUGUGUUUUGUUUAGUAUACAUUGAGUAAAUUUAGUAUUUUUUUUUUCAACUCACUCCAGCAAUCCUAUUAUUUUCAAUUUGACGUUUAUGUGUACAUUGAGAAAGUUGAGUAUUGUCGUGGUCGACAAUGACCAUGACUAGCUAAGUAACUUUGUCCAAUUAUCUAUAUGGGUGCAUAUCUUGUCUUUACUGAAAUGCCUCCACGAACAAGAAUACUAGUUCCAUCAGUUUCAAGUACGUGUGAUGUGGUCCUCUGGUUUUUUAUUCUUUCGUGAAAUUCUUGUAGUGUUCUACAUCUCCUUGUUCUCUCGUAAUGGGGCGUGUACUGGUUUUUCCAUGAAAAUAUUCUGUAGCUAGCUGGUAGUGCAACUACUCUCUCGCCUGUGUUGCUUCCUAUCCUUCCGGUGCCACUGUAACUACUCUCUCGCCUGUGUUAUUGUUCUAUGUGAUGCCUCUGCUUUGUGUCCAUGCCCAACUUGCUGAUGUUUGUCUCUCACUAGGUGCUAAUUCUCUAUCUAAUUGAUUCCGAUCGACAGCAAAUAGUGCUCCCAAAUCUGCAGAAGGAGCUCCUAAUUUUUAUGUCUGAAGUUCAGCUGUACCAUGGUGACACCGUUCAAAAACACUAGCAGGUGAUGUGCUAACCAGCUGCAGGACAUGGUCUCCUCGAGUUGCAGAUUGAUUUACUAGGUUGCCCGCGCCGGCCGUCGAAGCCUACCAAGGUGAUGCCUCACUGCUGCCAGCGUCUCCCUGCACCCCUCCUCCACACCACAAGGUCGAUAGAGAUAUCACGUUGUUUCUGUUGCUCUUCUACUACAUCUUCAGGUUCAGAAAAGGAAACAACAACGUUUCACUGCAGUCCAAAUCCAUGUGUGGGGAGAUGCUACAAGUUUGCCGUCCCUCGAUCUGCCGAGAAGCCUCGCCGUCGUGCCUUCUUUUCUUGCAAUCGCGUAGCUUUAGCCUGAUAUGCUCGGCUGAUGCAUCUCUUUCUUUUUGUUUCUUUUUUGCAAACUUCUUGCUUUUCAUACCUCAACUUGUGUAGAUCUUUUUGCAAUACCGACAUAGAGAAGUCUGCACUUCCAACUGACAUUCAAAAGUUCAGCUUGACGCCAUGCGGGACACUGCAGAGCUGUCGUGGUGUCGAUCGAGGCGCUGAAGUCUAGGGCUGUUGCAUGCUCUUUCUUGCUGAGGUCGAGCUAGAGUGCGAUGGUGUCCAUGCUCGCCACCCUUCUAGAGUCUGGUGCUAAUGCGGGCUUUCUCUUGCUAUUUUUUGUCUUACCAUGAGAGGGAUAACAAAUUAUUUAAUGUACCUUUUCUCCUUUACACUUG